AUGGGCACGGAGGGUGGCACUAUUUCUACAGUCAACACAACUUAUUUUCAAGUUGUCUCUUUCACACACCUCACCUUCUCCUCCACCCUGAUUUUGCAAUCAACGGCAUGCGCCCGCAACAUUGCCAUCACUAAUAUCUACGCCCCCUCUUCACGUGCACUCAAACAAUCUUUCUUAAACGAGCUCCUAACUAUCGCACAACCAGAUGAUUCCCCAUGGCUUAUUGCUGGAGACUUCAACCUCCUUCGCUUCCCCUCUGACAAAAACAAUCAUGCCUUCCGACAAUCUGAGGCCAACGCUUUCAACCAAACCUUAGACGACCUAGCCCUCAUAGAGUUGCCGCUACUUGAUCGCCAGUUCACCUGGUCGAACAAUAGAGAUACGCCCACCUUAGAACGGAUCGAUCGAGCUUCCUUUAACUUAGGCUGGGCUGACGCCUUCCCUAACACAUCAUUAUCUUCACUCACGCGUUUUACGUCCGAUCACGUCCCCCUCCUCGUCCACGUCACCACAACGAUUCCUCGGUCCAAUUUCUUUAAAUUCAAGCCUGGCUGGGCCAACUUCCAGCCAUGUGGAGACAUUAUCAGGAGAAUCUGGGCUCCAUCUCAGCCCACAUCGUCAGUCAACUCUGCCGCUGCUCUUGCCUCCAUGCUCAAAAAAUCUCAGGCCGGGCUAAAAAAAUGGGCAUGA
RNAcentral lists this ribosomal RNA (690 nucleotides) under Triticum aestivum (bread wheat). RNAcentral's name for it is "partial small subunit ribosomal RNA". Lineage: Eukaryota; Viridiplantae; Streptophyta; Magnoliopsida; Poales; Poaceae. The record is from RNAcentral.